UACGGAGGGUGCGAGCGUUGUCCGGAAUCACUGGGCGUAAAGGGCGCGUAGGCGGCGCGGGUAGUCAACGGUGAAAGCUUGGGGCUCAACCCCGAGUCGGCCGUCGAUACUCCCGUGCUUGAGCACUGUAGAGGCAGGUGGAAUUCCGGGUGUAGCGGUGGAAUGCGUAGAGAUCGGGAGGAAGGCCGGUGGCGAAGGCGGCGCUCUGGAACAUUUCUGACGCUGAGGCUCGAAAGCGUGGGGAGCAAACAGG
Molecule: ribosomal RNA, 253 nt
Filed under: uncultured bacterium
Lineage: Bacteria
Description: partial 16S ribosomal RNA
Rfam family: Bacterial small subunit ribosomal RNA
Source: RNAcentral